RNAcentral lists this ribosomal RNA (756 nucleotides) under Teratosphaeria zuluensis. RNAcentral describes it as "eukaryotic LSU rRNA". The stretch from base 264 to 417 matches the Rfam family "5.8S ribosomal RNA". Lineage: Eukaryota; Fungi; Ascomycota; Dothideomycetes; Mycosphaerellales; Teratosphaeriaceae. The record is from RNAcentral.
UGGCCCAGGGAGGUCGGCAGCGCCCACCCAGGGCCGGAAAGUUCGUCAAACUUGGUCAUUUAGAGGAAGUAAAAGUCGUAACAAGGUCUCCGUAGGUGAACCUGCGGAGGGAUCAUUACUGAGUGAGGGCGCAAGCCCGACCUCCAACCCCAUGUUUUCUAACCAUGUUGCCUCGGGGGCGACCCGGCCAUCGCGCCGGGGCCCCCGGUGGACCCCUCCAACUCUGCAUCUUUGCGUCUGAGUCACAAAAUAAAAUCAAUCAAAACUUUCAACAACGGAUCUCUUGGUUCUGGCAUCGAUGAAGAACGCAGCGAAAUGCGAUAAGUAAUGUGAAUUGCAGAAUUCAGUGAAUCAUCGAAUCUUUGAACGCACAUUGCGCCCUCUGGUAUUCCGGAGGGCAUGCCUGUUCGAGCGUCAUUACACCACUCCAGCCUCGCUGGGUAUUGGGCGCCGCGGCCUCCGCGCGCCUUAAUGUCUCCGGCCGAGCCGACCGUCUCCAAGCGUUGUGGCACAACUGUUUCGCUUUCGGGACCGGUCCGGCGACGCGCCGUUAAACCCUUUCACCAAAGGUUGACCUCGGAUCAGGUAGGGAUACCCGCUGAACUUAAGCAUAUCAAUAAGCGGAGGAAAAGAAACCAACAGGGAUUGCCCUAGUAACGGCGAGUGAAGCGGCAACAGCUCAAAUUUGAAAUCUGGCGCAAGCCCGAGUUGUAAUUUGUAGAGGAUGCUUCAGGGCAGCGGCCGGUCUAAGUUCCU